This is a long non-coding RNA of Quercus lobata, 635 nucleotides long. RefSeq lists it as uncharacterized. The transcript is spliced from 2 exons. NCBI's taxonomy places the organism in Eukaryota, Viridiplantae, Streptophyta, Magnoliopsida, Fagales, Fagaceae. The record is from RefSeq and is a predicted model, not a curated record.
UUUUGGAAAGGGCAAAUAUGUCCUCAAUUAGACAUAAUUCUUUGAUGAAUCUAUCCUCCUCUUUGACAACUCUUAGUCUCCGUUCUUGUGACUUGCGAGGAAAACUCGAAAAUAACGUCCUUUGCCUUCCCGGUAUACAAACCCUUGAUCUAACGGGUAAUUGGGACCUUGAAGGUUCUCUUCUAAAGUCUAAUUGGAGUUGUAGUUCCCUGAAGUUCUUAGGUCUCUCUGGGAGAAUGUUUUCAAGAGAAUUCCUUAAUUCUAUCGGCAAUUUGAAGUCCUUGGAGCAUUUGGCUCUCCCUGGUUGCAAUUUUACGGGGUCAAUUCCAGCAUGGCUUGGGAACCUUACAUAUUUGGAUUUGUAAAAUAAUAGUUUUAGCAGUCUGUUGCCGUCAUCACUAUUCAACUUGCUGAAUCUCUUAACUUUACGCCUUGGGUACAAUCAACUUGUUGGUCCCCUUCCUAGUCACGUAAGUGGUUUGAAUCUAGUUGAUCUCUAUUUAAGAUCAAAUUUCCUAAAUGAAACACUGCGAUCUUGGUUGUUCAAUAUGCCAUCUUUGGAGACUUUGUAUCUUAAUGGUAAUCAAUUCAUUGGUGAGAUUGGUGAAUUCAAGUACAAUUCAUUGAAGUAUCUU